GUGGGGAAUAUUGGACAAUGGGCGAAAGCCUGAUCCAGCCAUGCCGCGUGUGUGAAGAAGGUCUUCGGAUUGUAAAGCACUUUAAGUUGGGAGGAAGGGCAGUAAGUUAAUACCUUGCUGUUUUGACGUUACCGACAGAAUAAGCACCGGCUAACUUCGUGCCAGCAGCCGCGGUAAUACGAAGGGUGCAAGCGUUAAUCGGAAUUACUGGGCGUAAAGCGCGCGGAGGUGGUUUUGUAAGUUGGAGGUGAAAUCCCCGGGCUCAACCUGGGAACUGCCUCAAAAACUGCAUGACUAGAGUACGGUAGAGGGUAGUGGAAUUUCCUGUGUAGCGGUGAAAUGCGUAGAUAUAGGAAGGAACACCAGUGGCGAAGGCGACUACCUGGACUGAUACUGACACUGAGGUGCGAAAGCGUGGGGAGCAAACAGGAUUAGAAACCCUUGUAGUCC
RNAcentral lists this ribosomal RNA (450 nucleotides) under uncultured bacterium. Its description in RNAcentral is "partial 16S ribosomal RNA". It matches the Rfam family "Bacterial small subunit ribosomal RNA", at positions 354 to 796 of the family's 1533-position model. The record is from RNAcentral.